CUGGCAUGCUUCCAUUCUGUCUCUUAGGGUCCUGCCACCACCACAUAUGUUAGCCUGCUGGAGGACGACAGCCAGCCAACCUCCAGACAUAAACUUUUAAUGAAUUUAAGGGGAAAAUUAUACAUCUCAACAGAAAGCGCUUACCCUCUCUGAACCAUGUUCCUCCUGUGGUCACAAGAGGCUCAUUAGGCUGGCCUUAAAAACAGCAGUUGGGACAACGAGAAAGCUCCACAGAAAAUCAUGAUGAGCAGUGUUCAUUAUCUAUUCAUGAGCACCUUUCUUGCAUAUUUAGCAUUUGCAAAAUAUUGGAUGUCAUCAGCAUAUGGGAGUCCAGGAGAAAUCUCACCUUCUUGCAAAGACAAAAAUGGAAACGGCUGAGUCUUUCUACCCAGUUGAGGGAACCCAAUCUGAACAUGACGCCUAGUUGUUCUUUGACUCAGUUUAAAUGAUGUGAAGCUGAGCUGUACUCUCUGCAGCCCAAAUAUCUCUGGUUGAACAAAGAACAUUAGCACCUAAGGCCAACAACUCUCAAAGUUUCUGUACUGUGAAUGGUCCAACAGCUGAAAAAACUCAAGUUCAUCUCACCUCCAAUGUCUCUCUUGAAUCUAUUCCUUUCUGUCCAUCUACACAGUUAGAUACUAACCAUCAGCCAUGCCAUCUCUUGCCACCAUACAUCAUUUGUAAUAUAAUUAGUCUCACACUUAUCUCAGUUUCCCAUCUCACUCCUCUCUUAUCUAUUUUCCACAUUACAAACUGAGUGAUUGUUUUGCUUCCUACAACACAGUUCUUAUCAUCACCAUUGUCAUCAUUGAAAUUAUAUUAUCAUAAUUAUCAUAAGUCAGGUCUUAACUGUAAGCAAAAAAAUAAACUCUGGCUAAUUAAAGCAGAAAUAAUGAACUUAAUGGAUAUGGGCUGAUUUCCAUAAUUCCUAGGAAGUCCAGAGAACUAUUUCAGAAGCUACACAUCCAGGAAUCCCUUCUUUUCAGGGAUGCAUGGUGAAGGCACACAGCCUCCACCGCCACACAUUGCCUCUGCAGUUUGCUCUGUUAGCAUUUUGAGGUAGGGCUUCAGAUGUUACUGCUAGAACCACUGCCUCUGCUGACUCUAAGAAUCACAUGCAGCUGCCACCACUAGAACCAACCUCCCCAGAAAGAAGUCUGCAUGGUUGGUUCUUCAUUGCAUAAUGCGAUUCAGACAAAGUCUGAUGCAUCCAAUUAGUGAAUUCUUAGCUAAAUGUCUAUAACUUUGCUUCAUAGGAGAUGGCAUUGCCAACCUUUAAAAUGGACUCUGACUCAAAAGAUAGGAGACUCUCCAACAAAGGAAACAGUGGCCAGGAAGAAUAAUUGAUGUCUACUUUAAUACCAUUUAUUUAGCACCUACUAUAUCCCAAAGACUUCAUAUAUAUUAUCUCUACAAUAUUUCAGCAAAAUAGAUAUUUUUGUCCAUUUUAUACAAUCCUGAACUUUCAGGAUCAAGACAGAACACAAACAAAUGAUGAUGACUGAAACUGGAAAUGUGUUGGUUCAUGCAAUUGAAAUGUGAGUUGUAUGAGAGCAAGACUUAUUUCUCUCAUACAAAGAUAAAUUCUGAAUACCUUUAGUUGUGCCUGGUACAGAUCAGGAAUUCAAUAAAGCAUCCAGCCAGCAAGCUUGAUCCAGGGGCUCAAAAGAUGUCAUUACAAUUCUGC
RNAcentral lists this long non-coding RNA (1687 nucleotides) under Homo sapiens (human). RNAcentral's name for it is "HSALNT0330030". The record is from RNAcentral. Lineage: Eukaryota; Metazoa; Chordata; Mammalia; Primates; Hominidae.